RNAcentral lists this ribosomal RNA (301 nucleotides) under uncultured bacterium. Its description in RNAcentral is "partial 16S ribosomal RNA". It matches the Rfam family "Bacterial small subunit ribosomal RNA", at positions 509 to 807 of the family's 1533-position model. The record is from RNAcentral.
CAGCAGCCACGGGAAUACAGAGGGUGCAAGCGUUAAUCGGAAUUACUGGGCGUAAAGCGCGCGUAGGUGGUUCGCCAAGUUGGAUGUGAAAUCCCCGGGCUCAACCUGGGAACUGCAUCCAAAACUGGCGAGCUAGGGUAUGGUAGAGGGUGGUGGAAUUUCCUGUGUAGCGGUGAAAUGCGUAGAUAUAGGAAGGAACAUCAGUGGCGAAGGCGACCACCUGGACUGAUACUGACACUGAGGUGCGAAAGCGUGGGGAGCAAACAGGAUUAGAUACCCCGGUAGUCCCUGUCUCUUAUAC